Molecule: unclassified non-coding RNA, 168 nt
Filed under: uncultured Pleosporales
Lineage: Eukaryota; Fungi; Ascomycota; Dothideomycetes; Pleosporales
Description: sequence contains ITS2
Source: RNAcentral
ACCCCCUCAAGCCCUGCUUGGUGUUGGGCGUCUGUCCCGCCGCACGCGCGCGGACUCGCCCCAAAUGCAUUGGCAGCGGCCGCUCCGGCCCCGAUUCGCGCAGCAGUUUGCGACCGAUCGGCGGCCCAGCGGCGGACCGCGUCCACGGAAAAGACCUUUCCAAGCCUC